RNAcentral lists this ribosomal RNA (235 nucleotides) under uncultured bacterium. RNAcentral's name for it is "partial 16S ribosomal RNA". It matches the Rfam family "Bacterial small subunit ribosomal RNA", at positions 99 to 334 of the family's 1533-position model. The record is from RNAcentral.
CGAACGGGUGAGUAACACGUGGGCAACCUGUCCUCUCGCGGGGGAUAACACCGGGAAACCGGUGCUAAUACCGCAUGUCAUCGCUGGUCGCAUGGCCGGUGAGAAAAGCAGCAAUGCACGAGAGGGUGGGCCCGCGGCCUAUCAGUUAGUUGGUGGGGUAACGGCCUACCAAGGCUUUGACGGGUAGCUGGUCUGAGAGGACGACCAGCCACACGGGGACUGAGACACGGCCCCG